Molecule: ribosomal RNA, 458 nt
Filed under: uncultured Anoxybacillus sp.
Lineage: Bacteria; Bacillati; Bacillota; Bacilli; Caryophanales; Anoxybacillaceae
Description: bacterial SSU rRNA
Rfam family: Bacterial small subunit ribosomal RNA
Source: RNAcentral
ACAAGCGGUGGAGCAUGUGGUUUAAUUCGAUGCAACGCGAAGAACCUUACCUAGGCUUGACAUCCCUGGAAUUUUGUGGAAACACAAAGUGCCUUUCGGGGAACCAGGAGACAGGUGCUGCAUGGUUGUCGUCAGCUCGUGUCGUGAGAUGUUGGGUUAAGUCCCGCAACGAGCGCAACCCUCGACCUUAGUUGCCAGUAUUCAGUUGGGCACUCUAAGGUGACUGCCGGCUAAAAGUCGGAGGAAGGUGGGGAUGACGUCAAAUCAUCAUGCCCCUUAUGACCUGGGCUACACACGUGCUACAAUGGGCGGUACAAAGGGUCGCGAACCCGCGAGGGGGAGCCAAUCCCAAAAAGCCGCUCUCAGUUCGGAUUGCAGGCUGCAACUCGCCUGCAUGAAGCCGGAAUCGCUAGUAAUCGCGCAUCAGCAUGGCGCGGUCGAAUACGUUCCCGGGCCUU